CGGCACAAGUGGACCGUCGGCGACUUGGUGAUCUGGGACAACACCGGAACCAUGCACCGGGCCACGCCGUACGACCCGGCGUCGGGCCGGC
This 91-nucleotide transfer RNA is filed under the name Mycolicibacterium alvei. Its description in RNAcentral is "tRNA-Pro". The record is from RNAcentral. Lineage: Bacteria; Bacillati; Actinomycetota; Actinomycetes; Mycobacteriales; Mycobacteriaceae.